UACGUAGGCGGAAAAUUAAGUCAGUGGUGAAAUCCUGCAGCUUAACUGUAGAACUGUCAUUGAUACUGGUUUUCUUGAAUACAGUUGAGGUAGGCGGAAUGUGUAAUGUAGCGGUGAAAUGCUUAGAUAUUACACAGAACACCGAUUGCGAAGGCAGCUUACUAAACUGUUAUUGACGCUGAGGUACGAAAGCGUGGGGAGCGAACAGGAUUAGAUACCCUGGUAGUCU
This 229-nucleotide ribosomal RNA is filed under the name uncultured bacterium. RNAcentral's name for it is "partial 16S ribosomal RNA". It matches the Rfam family "Bacterial small subunit ribosomal RNA", at positions 568 to 796 of the family's 1533-position model. The record is from RNAcentral.